AGGAAUCUGCCUAUUAGUGGGGGACAACGUUUCGAAAGGAACGCUAAUACCGCAUACGUCCUACGGGAGAAAGCAGGGGACCUUCGGGCCUUGCGCUAAUAGAUGAGCCUAGGUCGGAUUAGCUAGUUGGUGAGGUAAUGGCUCACCAAGGCGACGAUCCGUAACUGGUCUGAGAGGAUGAUCAGUCACACUGGAACUGAGACACGGUCCAGACUCCUACGGGAGGCAGCAGUGGGGAAUAUUGGACAAUGGGCGAAAGCCUGAUCCAGCCAUGCCGCGUGUGUGAAGAAGGUCUUCGGAUUGUAAAGCACUUUAAGUUGGGAGGAAGGGUUGUAGAUUAAUACUCUGCAAUUUUGACGUUACCGACAGAAUAAGUACCGGCUAACUCUGUGCCAGCAGCCGCGGUAAUACAGAGGGUGCAAGCGUUAAUCGGAAUUACUGGGCGUAAAGCGCGCGUAGGUGGUUUGUUAAGUUGGAUGUGAAAGCCCCGGGCUCAACCUGGGAACUGCAUCCAAAACUGGCAAGCUAGAGUACGGUAGAGGGUGGUGGAAUUUCCUGU
Molecule: ribosomal RNA, 559 nt
Filed under: uncultured bacterium
Lineage: Bacteria
Description: bacterial SSU rRNA
Rfam family: Bacterial small subunit ribosomal RNA
Source: RNAcentral